CCAGCUCUCUUCGCCUUUUGGCUUAGAUCAAGUGUAGUAGCUGUUCUUUUUAGUUUAAUCUCUAGAACGCCCCUACGGGGGCAUUUCUGUUGAUUAAACCAGUUUUUGGCAAUCGGUCUAGCGGCGCGCUGAGCUCCGCUCAAUCGCCGCGGCCACAGUGUCGCCAGUAUUGCACUGCUUCUGGCCGAUGCGACCUCUU
RNAcentral lists this small nuclear RNA (199 nucleotides) under Diplodia corticola. RNAcentral's name for it is "Botryosphaeria corticola U2 spliceosomal RNA". It matches the Rfam family "U2 spliceosomal RNA". Rfam says of the family: U2 is a small nuclear RNA (snRNA) component of the spliceosome (involved in pre-mRNA splicing). Complementary binding between U2 snRNA (in an area lying towards the 5' end but 3' to hairpin I) and the branchpoint sequence (BPS) of the intron results the bulging out of an unpaired adenosine, on the BPS, which initiates a nucleophilic attack at the intronic 5' splice site, thus starting the first of two transesterification reactions that mediate splicing. Lineage: Eukaryota; Fungi; Ascomycota; Dothideomycetes; Botryosphaeriales; Botryosphaeriaceae. The record is from Rfam by way of RNAcentral.